AUGGUCCUGUUUCAGGAGAGAAGGAAGGCGAUCAGCUUCAGUAGAUUCACGGCAGUCUGGUGGAAGCUAUUUGGAUGCUGAGUGUUCACGGCAUAGAAGGGAUCGGAGUAGGAGCCCACAUAAAUGAAAAAGAAAUACAGAUAAAGAUAAAAAUUGGGACUCAAAAAGGAGGAAAGAGAGGGAUGGGGAAAGACAUCAUAGUCAUAAAAGAAGAAAGCAAAAAGUAUAAAUGAAGUAUUCAUGUAUGUGUUAAUUAUGCUGAUGCCAAGAUAACCAAUAUGCUGAUAUUUUCAUUAUAAUUGCUAUGAAUAGGGGAAAAUAGUGAUCUGUUUAGUGCUCAGAUCACUAUUUUUCAGUAAGUGCUUAUGUCUCAAACCAUGACUACACUGUUAUGCCCUAUAACUUUGUUUUCCAUAUAUUUUAAUAGAUGACUGCUUCCUGUUA
Molecule: long non-coding RNA, 444 nt
Organism: Myotis lucifugus (little brown bat)
Lineage: Eukaryota; Metazoa; Chordata; Mammalia; Chiroptera; Vespertilionidae
Exons: 2
Source: RefSeq, a predicted model, not a curated record